RNAcentral lists this ribosomal RNA (292 nucleotides) under uncultured bacterium. RNAcentral's name for it is "partial 16S ribosomal RNA". It matches the Rfam family "Bacterial small subunit ribosomal RNA", at positions 505 to 796 of the family's 1533-position model. The record is from RNAcentral.
GUGCCAGCAGCCGCGGUAAUACGGAGGGCGCAAGCGUUAUUCGGAAUCACUGGGCGUAAAGCGCGCGUAGGCGGCCAUGCAAGUCAGGUGUGAAAGCCCUUGGCUUAACCGGGGAAUUGCACUUGAAACUGUGUGGCUAGAGUUCAGGAGAGGGUGGCGGAAUUCCAGGUGUAGGAGUGAAAUCCGUAGAUAUCUGGAGGAACACCAGAGGCGAAGGCGGCCACCUGGACCGAAACUGACGCUGAGGCGCGAAAGCGUGGGUAGCAAACAGGAUUAGAAACCCCAGUAGUCC